Molecule: long non-coding RNA, 513 nt
Filed under: Capsella rubella
Lineage: Eukaryota; Viridiplantae; Streptophyta; Magnoliopsida; Brassicales; Brassicaceae
Description: long non-coding RNA (CRUB_LNC002797)
Source: RNAcentral
GCUUGAGGAAGAAGAAGACUGGUUUCAGUGGUGACCAAGACAAGAACAAGGAGGGGGAAGUGGUGAAAUCGAAGAUGCAGACUACGACUACGGAACCUACACAGCCUCAGCCUCCGCAGCAGAUGAUGAGCUUGAGUUUUAGUAGUCAGAUGUCUAAAGAAGACGAGGAGAUGGCUCGUUCUGCUCUCUCUGCUUUCAGAGCUAAAGAGGAUGAGAUUGAGAAGAGGAAAAUGGAGGUUCGUGAAAGGGUUAAGGCUCAGCUUGGUCGUGUCGAGGAAGAGACUCGUCGUCUUGCUAAUAUCCGCGAGGUUUGUUUUCUUUUCCUUUUUUUCAAACUUUCGAAGAUCUCACAUUUUUUUUUUCUUUUUCUGAGAUUUUGAAGCUCAAAUGGUUUGAAAUUACACUCAUGCAGUUUGUGUUGUGUCUGUAUUUGCUGUGAUUUGAAUUUUUGGUGAUGUUUCUGCAAUUUUGGAAGUUUAGGGUUUUAUAGAUGUAAAAGUUGUAGAUUUUGAA